RNAcentral lists this long non-coding RNA (813 nucleotides) under Phasianus colchicus (ring-necked pheasant). RNAcentral's name for it is "lncRNA (ENSPCLG00000022282.1)". The record is from RNAcentral. Lineage: Eukaryota; Metazoa; Chordata; Aves; Galliformes; Phasianidae.
UGGGGGUCUAAAAGAACUGAUAGCAGACACCUGGUUCAACAUCUGAAGAUCAACUGAGCAUGUGCCUGAAAAGCAACCUGUGACUGUGAGUCAAUCACCUUACCCCAUAAAUAGGAGCAGCAGGUGAUCCCCCUUUGACCUUCCCUGUAUAGCAGCUAGUUGUGUGGUAGCAGCUUCUCUUGAGCAUGGACACCUCUUAUUAAUUGAAACAUGCAUAUCUGAGUUAAAACUGGAUCUGGCUACAGUGAUGGAGUAAAGCUAGAGCUAUGUUUUAACUGUGAGGAGUGUUCAGUACUGAAGUGCUAGCUGAACUGAUGCCACUCAGGAACUGUACUGAGGAGAGACGAGUUGAAAGGAUAAGCCAGAUUCUAAGGCUUCAAAUGGAAAAUACGCACCCAAAUUUAAAUUACAAAACCAGAAAAAAAGAGCUACCUAUAUUUUCACCAGAAAUGCUUCUAUGUAAAAUUCUGCUUCAGGGCCUGGCUAGUUAUUGCUGAAGUUUGAACAGAUAGACUCUUCAGCUUCCUUUACCUGCAUUCAGCUCAGGGUGUGAAGAAAGCCCCCUCCCAGCCCUUGUCACAAGGAGCAAGUAACAUAAAUUGCAUCAGCACUGACUGGAGCCAAGAAGGAAAUGUGGUCUGAUCUCAGAUGAGUGCCCUAACCAUUACACUAUAGAUUCUCUCUGGUCCAGUGAUUUUAAUUAUUCCAUUUGAAAGCCAAGCAGGAGGUAGAGAGAAUGCCUUGUGCCAAAGUUGGCAGGAGUAUGCUGUCUGCUGCACUUUGCCAUCGGGCUGCUUGCAGCCUCUCAAGCAC